Sapajus apella (tufted capuchin) is the source of this 114-nucleotide long non-coding RNA. RefSeq lists it as uncharacterized. NCBI's taxonomy places the organism in Eukaryota, Metazoa, Chordata, Mammalia, Primates, Cebidae. The transcript is spliced from 3 exons. The record is from RefSeq and is a predicted model, not a curated record.
CAUCUUUUUACAGCUGGAGGUUGUCCAGGUUCUUGGCUUGUGGAACAAAUAAUUGAACAACAUGAACAAAUAAAGCAACAAAAGAAUGAAGCAAAGAAAGCACAGAUUUAUUUA